GAAUCCUUAAUUGAGUGACCAUGUUGCAACCCGAGCCGACCCAGCUUUUCCGCAUUGACCCGACCCGAACCGACUUUACCUGAUUUCCUUUUAAGCUUUAACAGGGUACUUGAAUCUCAAAAUGGGAUUUUUUUGGCAGAGCAUUCGAUAUGGUUUUAUGGGAUUCCUGGAUGGUGCUUGGGCAGAGCUGAUCCUCAUGGUUGAUGCCCGGAAGCUCUACUUUUGUGCAACAAAUUGAAGUUAGAGAUGAUGAUAAGAAAGGUGUCCUUCUAUAUUCGUUUUCCAAGAAACCUGACUUGAGCUCCCUAGCAAAUUGGAGACUUGGAGUGUAUCAAACUACAUGAUUCUUACAUCCCACAGCCGCAAGGUAGGAAAUAAACUAUUUGUUUUUGUGCUUCUUCACGGGUUUGCUAGAAAAUUGUUCCAUUUUUUUUCCGCGAUCAAAUGCUCUAUUUUUUUCUUUUUCUUUUUUCCAAAUUGGCAUAAAACUGAAGAUUUUCCUUGUGGUUGAACAAUGGAUCAACAAUCCGUAUGGCAUAUGAGGCUCCAACUCGUGCUUUAAAUCGAUUGCAAGUGGUAAUGACGACAGAGAGAAAUAGGGAGGGAUGGCAGCUAGGGUUUGAGAUCAACUGGCCUAGUUGCCAUCCCAUCUUCAGCAACAAUUUUACACCUAUUCAAAAGUAGCAAACAGGGGCGUAUCUAAGAAUUAUUUCAUCAGGCUAUGCCCAGGAAUAGCUGAUGGCCUGCAAUACACAACAAACAUAUCACAAACAGACCAGCAAGACAUUUCAUGCUGAUGUAUUUAGGAAGUAGAACUGUGUGUGCGUGUCCAACAGUGACUUAAAACUCUCAAAAGAGAAGGCAUUACAUAAGAGACUCAUAUGGUGAGUGCAUAUUGGUUUGUGCA
This is a long non-coding RNA of Carya illinoinensis, 907 nucleotides long. RefSeq lists it as uncharacterized. NCBI's taxonomy places the organism in Eukaryota, Viridiplantae, Streptophyta, Magnoliopsida, Fagales, Juglandaceae. The record is from RefSeq and is a predicted model, not a curated record. The transcript is spliced from 2 exons.